RNAcentral lists this ribosomal RNA (383 nucleotides) under uncultured bacterium. Its description in RNAcentral is "bacterial SSU rRNA". It matches the Rfam family "Bacterial small subunit ribosomal RNA", at positions 28 to 414 of the family's 1533-position model. The record is from RNAcentral.
AAUCAACGCUGGCGGCGUGCUUAACACAUGCAAGUCGAGCGGUAAGGCCCUUUCGGGGGUACACGAGCGGCGAACGGGUGAGUAACACGUGGGUGACCUGCCCUCAGCUCUGGGAUAAGCCUGGGAAACCGGGUCUAAUACUGGAUAUGACUCCAUGACGCAUGUUGUGGGGUGGAAAGCCUUGUGCGGCUGAGGAUGGGCCCGCGGCCUAUCAGCUUGUUGGNGGGUGAUGGCCUACCAAGGCGACGACGGUAGCCGGCCUGAGAGGGCGACCGGCCACACUGGGACUGAGACACGGCCCAGACUCCUACGGGAGGCAGCAGUGGGGAAUCUUGCGCAAUGGGCGAAAGCCUGACGCAGCGACGCCGCGUGAGGGAUGACGG